UGAAACUUUUUGUGCUUUUCUAGUGUGAUGGUCCUUUGUGAUGAUGCUUCAUUUUUCUUUUGUUCACCUGUUUGGCUAGUAGUCUUGUCGUUGCUAUUUUUUUUUGUGUGUGUGUGUGUGAAAAUAUUAUGACCUGUAAUUAGCAAGAAGAAGAAGCCCUCAACUCAGCACACCUCCUCUUGUGACUUGAAGGCCAAUUUCCAUUUGUGAAAUUGAACCAUUUGGCAUAUCUGCACAGAGAAAGCAGAACCAAAAUUGCAAAACUAUGCUUGUAGUGCUGUAUGAACUAAGAAGCAAUAUGAAUUUCAAUUAGAAAAAUAAGUACCAAUUUUAGCACUUCUGUGUUCAACUAUUGACAAUAUAUAGCAAUUCAAUGUCACUCAAAUGCCAAUCUUUGAGUGCCAACCAAUGAUGCAUAUUGACCCUUCUUCGCCAACAACUCAAAAUGGGUCCCCAGUUCUGCAACCCUCCCACCCGAGCAAAGUGCGAUCUGAUGGGCAUUCUGAACUGUGCUUAAUCGAUGAGCAAUCACCAAUGUAGUUCUGCCCUUCAUCAAAUGAUUAAGAGCAUCCUGGACCAGGCGUUCACUGACUGCAUCCAAAGCACUGGUGGCCUCAUCAAGAAUAAGGAUUGGAGCAUUUUUGAGCAAGGCUCUCGCAAUAGCAACUCUCUGGAGAAUGAAGGUCAGAAAAUAAAAUUCAAUCCUUUAUCUUUCAAAUACCUGCCCCCCCUCCUCCUCUCUCUUUCACAAGCACCUAAAGAUCAGAAACACAAACCAAUCACCUAUCUCUCAAUCUCUCUGAAAAGCUUGUUGCAUACCUGCCUCUGUCCUCCACUCAAUAAGCCACCACGCUCACCAACUAGAGUGUCAUAACCCUUUGAAAUCCAAGUAAAGGUUCAGCAAACAGUAAUGAGAGCAAGCAAAACUUUCAACAAAAGCAAAGCUACAAGAUAAUGAACCUGUGGAAGUGAAAUUAUAAAUUCAUGAGCAUUUGCAGCUUUGGCAGCCUUUAUGAUGUCAUCCUUGGAUACAUUAUCAUCUGGAAGCCCAUAAGCAAUAUUUUCUCCAACAGAAACCGAAAAAAGUACAGGCUCCUGUGUAUGUUACAUGCUUAAGUUUGAGAAAUACAGAAGACUUAUAUCAGGCAAUUGAAGUAACUCCCUCAGCACACACAUCACAUAUUCUUCAGACAGGGAUAGAUAGCAUCCAAAGGUAUUUGGAUUAUUCAACUAGGACAUCUAAGGUAUCUACAAUUGGCAAUAAAUGGUUAUCCAUUCUCUCAACCAAAUGCCAGGUUAAUAUCAAACAGCGCUUGCUAAUGAAAUUUCAAGAUAAGUUCAUUUGUUAGGUAUUCAAGUAUUCCACCUCUUGGUUUAGAACUAAAGCAAACAGUAUGUCAGUAGUAAUUGAUGGCCAACUAGCUAAACAUAUUAACAGGUUUUGCAUUACUGCAUUUAAGUGGACAUUGAGAAGUAUGAAGAUCCAAAUAUAUACUUGAUUCACUAUGGAGACAACUCGAGCCCAUUCGGUCUUGUCAAAUGUCCGGACAUCCUCUCCUGCAACAGUUAUCUUGCCUCUAGUCGGCUGUAGGAAAAAGAUACACUUACGAAUUACAACUAUUUCUUGAUGGAAAAAUAAUAAUAACAGCAACAAGUAGAAAUUCAAAAUUGAAAAUUAAGAUUUUAAAAAGAAAAUAAACCUCAUAAAAGCGUGCCAAUAGCUGAACUAUGGUACUCUUGCCUGCACCACUUGGGCCCACUAAAGCAGUCACAGUUCCACAUUUUAGUUUCAAAUUAAGACCAUUUAGGAUUUCAACAUCAGGUCUCAAAGGAUAAGAAAAAUGUACAUCUGCAGAAAAAAUUGAGGACAUCAGUAGGCAUAAAAUAUUGGUCCAUUAAUAUUUUUGGAUGCAAUUAUUUGAAGUAAAAGAUUUGGAUUUGAUUUUAAUUUAAAUUGUUUAAAUGUGAUACACUUCAAAUUCCUAACCCAUCUUGAUGGCGCCACGUGUCUCUUUCUGAUAUUUAAAAUACCUGACGGAGGGAAAACCUUUAAAAACGUCCUCCAGUGGCAGAUGGGUAGUUUCACACAUGCUCCUUCUAUCCCUUGAAGGAGGAAAACGGCCUCUAGAAGGAAAUCGCUCAUCUACGACCCUGACCUACUGCAUUUAAUGCUUUUGAAACCUAAAAUAUGAGCAUCAAGCGCGAUAAACCUACUAAAAGAUGGAGCUAAAUAAACCCACCAUUGCAUUUAACAGCUAAAUGACUCUCGCACACAACCUUAUCCUUUUCACACUUUGAACCCCCCACAUCCUGGUAUUGAGGCUUUUUAGCGCACUACUCUAAUUCUUAAUAAGGUCUUAUUACUGUAAACAUUGAUUGACAAUACAUUGGUAAAAUAAGGUUCUUCCAUACAUAAUCUAUCCGUUAUGUAAAUUACAUGUGGCACUAUAUUAUUGGACAGGUGUGGUAUGUAUUUCGGUUAGUACUAGGUAAGUCUUCAAUUCUAGAAAAAACACUCUUGAGCUCAUUUAUUUCGCCUUAAUGCUCUUAUCUACCUCUGGAAAAACUGUUUUCUAACUUGAUCAUCGGAGUGCCAAGCAAGGAGACCCUCUUCGCCCUCUAACCCUUGUUUGUUUUGUAGCUAGAGUUAAAGUGGAAGCUCAAGAGUUAGACCAUUCCUUCAAGCCACUCUUUUGACAACCCCUUCCAUGUGGCACCCAUCUGUGAAGCCUUAAAAAAAAAUUUAUAAAAAUGAAAUGUGGUUGAGAACUCAUUUGAAAUGGAUUUUAAAUGACAAAAUCAAUUGAACCAAUAUCUAUGUAUUAUCAAUAUGACAUUCAAAUUUCACAUUUCAAAUUUCUCCAUUCAAACGAAAGGUACAUGAAUUUAGAGAAACCAUUAGCAAUUUGGAUUUAUUCUUUGUUCUAUAUAUCCCAAAACUACACAGCCAAGAAAAUUUAUGUAGGGGAAGACAGUUUCAGCCACAUAGAGAGCGCAUCUUAUAAAGCACAAAACUGUAUCAAGUUAUAAGAUUUGCACACUUAAUUUGAAAUAAAUAUUAUAUUUUGUUUCGCAAGAGACAAUUAACUCAUACUGUAAGAACAUGAGAAGAUUAUCAAUAUGAUUUAAUAACUAAAAUCAUAAGAUGCAAAGAUGUAGUAAAAUUUACAUCAAUCCAUCUGAAAGUUAAAUAAGACAGGAUUAAUGAUACCUUCAAGACAAACAUCACCAGACCAAGCAUAGGUGCUCAGGUUGCUAGCUGAUUUCAAGGCUGACAUGUAAUGUGCAUUUAAAUAUCUAUUCUUCCCACUGUAACCAUUAACAAAGAACAAUUUAGUUAUCUCAUCAUGAUUUUCUUUUUCCUGGAUUUCUCUUUCCAAACCAUUGGCAAGGGCUUCAUCAAUUUCUACUUCAGACAAAACUGAAUUAAUUCUCUCAACAGCAGCAAAUGUUCCACGAAGGUCUCCAAAUGUAUUGACUAGUCCUUGAACAGCAAAUGUUAAUGUGAAAGUGUAUCCGAUAAAAGAAGCAACAGUUCCAACAGAGAGUUCGCCUGCCUUCACUUUGCUUCCUCCAAGACAAUACAAAGCCAUCAAAGAAAUAUAAACAGCUAUUCUUGUCAAUGAUUCAUUCACAGAUUUGAAGGUCCCAAGCUUUAUGCCACUACCCUGAUAAGCAAGAACCUGGCUACCAAACAUCAACAUUUGGCGCUUUUCACCACUGAAGGAUCUUACAGUGCGAAUAGCAGAAAAAGUUUCUGUCACACAAUCAGAUAUGGAUGCUUGGGCCAUUCCAUGAGCUUUGAAAACAGGUAUAGUUGACCGCUUGUAUGUGGCUUGAGAAUAGUAAUUCGACUAAAACAGACACACUAAGCAUCAAUAUACCCAGAAUUGGUGCCAGUUGGGGGGCCAGAGCAAAUAAUAUGCAUAUAGUCCCAAUUACUUUUACUCUAGUAUAGAAUGGCUUGCCUCGGAAAGUGCCCUAAAUCCACGAUCCCUUGAAAUGUUCUCAUUGACAAUAUCUUUAAGAGACCCCAAAUCAAAUGUUAACAAUGCACUGAGUUCACCAAUCUUGUAUCGAUCAAAAAACUCCACCUUCUGUAUUAGAACUCUUCUGAAAAUAUGAGCUCUUAGCCUUGACAUUACCUUCUCCCAAACAGCGUUCAUGUUCACAACAAAGAUCACAGUGCAAAUUGGUUCCAAUGAGUAUAAAAGUCCAACCUUACUAAGCAGCCUCCACAAAGGCUCUGGCCUUGCGCCUAUAAGCACUUCAAAAAAUCGGCCUGAAAAUAAGGGCAUCGAAAGGGUACAAGUAGUGCAACCAACGAGAGCCAGAACCGAGACCCCAAGCCUCAGCUUAUGCUUAAGCAACAGACUCCACAAAAGUCCCCAACUUAUCAGUUUCGUUGACUGCACCUCCUCAGUCGUGGACUCCGAUGCGUCGACCUUCGGGUCGGGCUCGCUCAAAGUUGGAGGCCCCGACACGUAAGCGCACGAAAUUGUGGAGAUUUUGGUGCUCCAUCGCUUCACAUAAGAUUGUGAAAAUGGCGGGAAAUGGCAGAAAGCAGAGGAGAUCGACAGUUGACUCUGCCUAAGUUUAUGUUUAUUAAUGGGACGCACGUGAAGCUUAGGUAUUGGGAAGCGAGUGGGAUUGAUUUGUAGGAGGACGCCAGUUGCAGACGCCAUAGAUUUUCUCGCUGUAGACCGGAGGACGAGAGACACCCAGCAAGAUAUAGUCUCACACUCCCAAGUUGCUUGGCAAAUUUUCAUUACUCGACCACCAACGGUACGUUAUCAAAUC
RNAcentral lists this unclassified non-coding RNA (4800 nucleotides) under Hevea brasiliensis (rubber tree). Lineage: Eukaryota; Viridiplantae; Streptophyta; Magnoliopsida; Malpighiales; Euphorbiaceae. The record is from RNAcentral.